CUUCGAUCAGUAGCUGGUCUGAGAGGAUGAUCAGCCACACUGGGACUGAGACACGGGCCAGACUCCUACGGGAGGCAGCAGUGGGGAAUUUUCUGCAAUGGGCGAAAGCCUGACGGAGCAACGCCGCGUGAGGGACGAAGGCCUCUGGGCUGUAAACCUCUUUUCUCAAGGAAGAAGAUAUGACGGUACU
This 190-nucleotide ribosomal RNA is filed under the name uncultured Prochlorococcus sp. Its description in RNAcentral is "partial 16S ribosomal RNA". It matches the Rfam family "Bacterial small subunit ribosomal RNA", at positions 274 to 479 of the family's 1533-position model. Lineage: Bacteria; Bacillati; Cyanobacteriota; Cyanophyceae; Synechococcales; Prochlorococcaceae. The record is from RNAcentral.